This is a long non-coding RNA of Haplochromis burtoni (Burton's mouthbrooder), 2109 nucleotides long. RefSeq lists it as uncharacterized. The record is from RefSeq and is a predicted model, not a curated record. The transcript is spliced from 5 exons. NCBI's taxonomy places the organism in Eukaryota, Metazoa, Chordata, Actinopteri, Cichliformes, Cichlidae.
CACCCCUAGUUAAAAUGUAAUGUGCUGUUCUAUGGAGGUAGAAAUACAUUUUCAAGAUAAAAGGCUAAAUACAUUGUUUGAAGAUAACUUAAGCGUUUCACUCAUGACUGAAAAAUUACAACUCUAGCAAAAUGCCUUAACAACAUUAAAUGUUAGAAAUCAUUCUACAAAACACGGUUAAUAUUAGUUACGUCUUUAAUAGCAGAUUAUAGAGUAAAACUAAUCUAAAUAUGUGACAUAUCAAUACUCAAAUGCAUGCCCUGAGUUUCUGAUGGCUUAUUAAUCUUUGCAUUUAUCAGCAAACUGACAUGAUGACAGUGUGUGUUUUAAUACCAUUUUAACAUAUUUCAUGUGAAAUAAAUGAGUCAUAUGGAGACAAAACCAAAACACUUUUUUUUAACAACAAAUUGAAAUUCCUGGAAACUGAGAAUAAAAUAAAAAAUCUUAUUGAAUCUGUAUCUGACCUCACAGGAUGUGAGGAUUUGUGACAUCCAGUACAAAUAGUAACUUUAGUAACUUGAUACUGCUAGAAAACACAUUCAUGCCGGUUAGACGACAGAUCUGGGACGCAUAAGCCAAACCACAAUCGGGCCAGAUGUGGCAUGCCAUCACAUAAACAGUGCCAUCAUUGCCAGACCUGGCCCACAUCUGGUUGACAUACCCCUUACCAUGCCAGUCAGCCAGCAGUGUCUGGCUUCACACUAGAGCCGGGCCAGACCUGUCUGUUACGUGGGAUUGUCUAUAAAAACAGAAUACUGUCACCUUGGACUGAAAAUAUGCAGUUUGCAUUUUCACUUGUUCUUCUGGCAGUUGCAAACUUAAAAGGGAUUCUUGCAAAUCUGGUAAAAAACUAAACAAAACCAUAAGCCCACCCCAGUGCAUGCUGGUCCUAUACCAGUCCCUUUACUUAAAGUUAAUGACCUUGCAGUUCUUCCUGGCUGACUUCCAAAGAUAAAUAACAAAACAAAGAAUUAAGCAAUUAUUAACCUACAAAUAAAACGUGUAAAUAUCCCAAAAUAGGUCAACCAAGAAAAAAUUGUGACAGUAUGCAGUUGGAGUGAUUUUAGAGAGUAUCGUCUUGUUGAUGGUUAUCAUUCUAUUAUUCGUAGGACUGGCUUCCCACCCUGAGGUAUCACCGAGUUGACUUUAAAAUGUGGAGUUUCUGUGGGGUUUUUUUUUUUGUGUGUGUGUGUUUGUUUAGUUUAAUCCAAAAUGUGUUUUAGAAGACACAGUAUUGUUUGUAAUAAUAUUUUUAAUAUUACUUUGUUUUUGUUGUGCAGCUAGUUGAAGAGCUGAAGAAGGAAUACCUGAGGCUUUUGCCGCUGACGGAAAGCAGCAAAGAGUUGCUCGACGAUUUACAGACAGAUUUGGAGUGUUGUGGACUUCAGGGCUACCAGGACUGGAAGUCCAACAUCCCAAAAUCCUACCUUUGUGCCAAAGAGUCCACUAAUCUGUGUGUGGAAACUCUUGGAGGCAGCUGGGAGGAAAAUCAGACUGUUAUGAUUUAUGAACAGGGAUGCCUUACGUACCUUGUUGAAAUCCUCAUGCAUGGAUUUAAGAUUUUUUUGGGCACGUUACUGGGAUUUUUAUUAUUGUGGAUGUAGUCCCUCGUGUUGUGUAGAGCCAUCUUGUGCCAGCUGAAUCGAAACAGAGAAACCUCGGUAGUGAACUAAGGUGCAGAAGCAAAAGCAGGCAACUGCACCACCCUCACAGAGCCUCCAGACCACUUCCGAUGUCUUUGCUAGUUCUGAUGCUUCCAGCAGCGAUGGCCAUUAUUUAAGCAUGCUAAAUAAUAAAUAUAUUUAUGAUAAUUGGUUAUAUUGAAUAUAUCAUAUCCUACAACUGCAUUAUGGACUGCUUUAUUAUGACUUUCUGAAUUUCAACUCAGUUGAUUGAGAUUAUUGAUCUGGGAUAUCAACACUGAGUGAAAAUGCACUGUUUAAAGCUAAUAUAACUAAACAUAUAUCGAAAACAAACUGAAUAUCAUGUGUGAAUUGUUUUAAUACUUGAUGAUUCGGUAGUUUUUAAUUUUUUUAUACUGUGUAAAAUUUGGUUUGUCGAUGUUUUGUUGGGUUUUUUUUGUUUUUUGUUUUUGUUUUUUACUUUUUU